RNAcentral lists this ribosomal RNA (254 nucleotides) under uncultured bacterium. RNAcentral's name for it is "partial 16S ribosomal RNA". It matches the Rfam family "Bacterial small subunit ribosomal RNA", at positions 524 to 776 of the family's 1533-position model. The record is from RNAcentral.
UACGGGGGGGGUAAGCGUUGUUCGGAAUUACUGGGCGUAAAGGGCUCGUAGGCGGCCAACUAAGUCGGAUGUGAAAUCCCCAGGCUUAACCUGGGAACUGCAUCCGAUACUGGAUGGCUUGAAUCCGGGAGAGGGAUGCAGAAUUCCAGGUGUAGCGGUGAAAUGCGUAGAUAUCUGGAGGAAUACCGGUGGCGAAGGCGGCAUCCUGGACCGGCAUUGACGCUGAGUGAGCGAAAGCCAGGGGAGCAAACGGG